AUGGAGUGGCAGAUGUUCCCGGAGACUGCGAUGCCGCUGCCCGAGGGCUCCAUGCACGCAGCCAGCACGGUGGUGGAUGGGUUUAUCUGUUGGGAAUUCGUGUCCCUGAAUGAGGUAUCUCUCAGCGAGUACAUUUUGGUGCUCAACACGGAUACCUUUCAGUUCUCUCGAAUUGAUCUGCCGCCGUCCUUGAGAGUGGUAUACCCAAAAUUUAAGAUUGGUCAGACCAAGGAUCGGAACCUCUGUAUCGUCAUUGAGAAGGAUUGCAUGCUUUUUCUUUGGAUCUGCACAGCCGGUGAUGAUGGCGUCCAGAGAUUUGUGCUGCACAGUACGUUCCCGUUGCACGCUAGAUUUAUGGAGGUCACCAGCUGUUCAGUGGAAGAUAAAUUCUCUGUGCAGCUUAUGACGGUCUUCAAUGGCUUUGUGUACCUUUCUAUUUGCCCCUGGAAGAAUUUCAGGGAUAAGUACAAAUCCCCUGAGUGGUUCAUGUCCUUCUCUCUGGAAACAGCGGAGCUGAACCAGCAUUUUAAGAACAGAAAGCGAAUUGGCUGCCCUGUCCAUCCCUAUUUGGCCUGGCCUCCUUUAGUAGACAAGACAACACGGUGGAUUCGGAAUAUGAAGUUACUGGAAACAGUAUUGGAAGUGCUGGUCCUGAGAGCACAGAGAAGGGUUCAUCUUUUCUUAUAA
Molecule: ribosomal RNA, 687 nt
Filed under: Triticum aestivum (bread wheat)
Lineage: Eukaryota; Viridiplantae; Streptophyta; Magnoliopsida; Poales; Poaceae
Description: partial small subunit ribosomal RNA
Source: RNAcentral